This 446-nucleotide unclassified non-coding RNA is filed under the name Hevea brasiliensis (rubber tree). Lineage: Eukaryota; Viridiplantae; Streptophyta; Magnoliopsida; Malpighiales; Euphorbiaceae. The record is from RNAcentral.
CACAACAUCCAGAACUGCAUCAAUCAGCUCUGCUCCCUCAGUGUAAUGCCCUUUGGCCCAGUUAUUUCCAGCACCAGACUGCCCAAACACAAAGUUAUCGGGCCUGAAGAUUUGACCAUAGGGACCAGUCCUCACACUGUCCAUGGUACCAGGCUCAAGAUCCAUAAGCACAGCACGAGGUACAAAUCGCCCGCAUGAGGCCUCAUUGUAGUACACAUUGACGCGCUCUAACUGCAGAUCAGAAGAUCCAGUGUAUCGUCCCGUAGGGUCAAUGCCAUGCUCGUCACAAACGACCUCCCAGAACUUGGAUCCGAUCUGGUUACCACAUUGUCCACCUUGAAUGUGAAGGAUUUCUCUCAUUUUUCUUUGUUUCUAGUCGACGUCUAGUAACCGGCGACAGUCGGUGGAAAUGAGUUGUUUCUGGUGAUAGGGCCCGAGUGAGGCUC